GACGAACGCUGGCGGCGUGCUUAACACAUGCAAGUCGAACGAUGAAGCCGGAGCUUGCUCCGGUGGAUUAGUGGCGAACGGGUGAGUAACACGUGAGCAAUCUGCCCUUGACUCUGGGAUAACUGCGGGAAACUGUAGCUAAUACCGGAUACGACACCUUGGGGCAUCCCAGGGUGUGGAAAGAAUUUCGGUCAAGGAUGAGCUCGCGGCCUAUCAGCUAGUUGGUGAGGUAAUGGCUCACCAAGGCGACGACGGGUAGCCGGCCUGAGAGGGUGACCGGCCACACGGGAACCGGGACACGGUCCAGACUCCUACGGGAGGCAGCAGUGGGGAAUAUUGCACAAUGGGCGAAAGCCUGAUGCAGCAACGCCGCGUGAGGGAUGAAGGCCUUCGGGUUGUAAACCUCUUUUAGCAGGGAAGAAGCGAAAGUGACGGUACCUGCAGAAAAAGCACCGGCUAACUACGUGCCAGCCGCCGCGGUAA
RNAcentral lists this ribosomal RNA (483 nucleotides) under uncultured bacterium. Its description in RNAcentral is "partial 16S ribosomal RNA". It matches the Rfam family "Bacterial small subunit ribosomal RNA", at positions 28 to 523 of the family's 1533-position model. The record is from RNAcentral.